RNAcentral lists this ribosomal RNA (682 nucleotides) under Hylophorbus sextus. RNAcentral's name for it is "partial 12S ribosomal RNA". The stretch from base 1 to 456 matches the Rfam family "Bacterial small subunit ribosomal RNA", at positions 879 to 1533 of the family's 1533-position model. Lineage: Eukaryota; Metazoa; Chordata; Amphibia; Anura; Microhylidae. The record is from RNAcentral.
ACUACGAGCCCAAGCUUAAAACCCAAAGGACUUGACGGUUUUCCAUCCCCCUAGAGGAGCCUGUUCUAUAAUCGAUUAUCCCCGAUCAACCUCACCACCCCUUGAAUUUACAGCCUGUAUACCUCCGUCGCAAGCUUACCUUGUGAACGCAUAUUUAGUGAGCUUAAAGAUUUUACAUCUACACGUCAGGUCAAGGUGCAGCCUACGAAGUGGAAAGAAAUGGGCUACAAUUUCUACUUUAGAACAAACGAAAGACUAUGAAAUACAACCUAAAGGCGGAUUUAGUAGUAAAAGGAAAAUAGAGAGUUCCUUUUAAUUGGGCACUGGAAUGCGUACACACCGCCCGUCACCCUCUUCAGAUUAUAAAUAUAUGUAACUGACACCACAAACCUUCAUAGAAGAGGCAAGUCGUAACAUGGUAAGCGUACUGGAAAGUGCGCUUGGACUAACAAAAUGUAACUUAAUAAAAGUGUCUUGUUUACACCAAGAGUAUGUAUGUGAGAACCUAACCAUUUUGAGCCUAAAAUCUAGCCCCAUUUUAUUUAAUGAAACAUAAUAAUCAACAUAAAAAACUAAAACAUUUUCUUAUACUUAGUAAAGGUGAUUAAAAAGUAUUUUGGAGCCUAAACAUUAGUACCGCAAGGGAAAGUGAAAUAAAAAUGAAAUAAAUUUUAGGCACUAU